This is a long non-coding RNA of Girardinichthys multiradiatus, 926 nucleotides long. RefSeq lists it as uncharacterized. The record is from RefSeq and is a predicted model, not a curated record. NCBI's taxonomy places the organism in Eukaryota, Metazoa, Chordata, Actinopteri, Cyprinodontiformes, Goodeidae. The transcript has 4 exons.
GAGAAUUUUGUUUUUUCCGAGUGUACAGUGAAGUACUCAGAAAUGCCGAAUGGGAAAACUGGUUUACAUGCCCUAAUGUGAGUGUUUUCCACUGACUUUUGAUGGUUAAAUACCUCCCAUAAAAUCAACGGUACACUCCAGUGAUUUUGUUUGAAGGGUUAACACUUUUUGCUGCUGUUUCCCGGUUUUUCUUCCCUUCUUUGUGUCCAUCUUUGAAGAAGAUUGAUCAACGUCGGACUCCAUUCAGGGAUGGCCAGCCCACCGGCAGGAUACCGGAAGCUCAUUCUUAAUGCAGGGAGAUUCGGACCUGCCCUGGAUGGUCUGAGAUCUGUGGAAACCGCCAGCGGGUAGGAAAAACUGUGAUUAGGCUGCACCGCUGCAUAACCUGCAGGGAGGAGAGGGAUUUAAAAUUUGCUCGAAAGGACGUCAGGACCGCUCUGACUUCUAAUCAGGGAUAUUCAACACUCAGCACGCAGCCUGUUGAAUGUGACGUCUAGCCAAUCACAAAGCGAGAGCAAGACGAAUCAUGAGACAAGUGUUGCUGAGAGUUUAGAUGUCGUCCUGCAUUUCUUCUCCCAUCUGUUUCCAACAUGCCGGUGAGACGAGACAAACCAGCCCUGCCAAGACAUGGAGUCACUGAUGUGUUUGAAAAUUCAUUGCCUCGCAACUCAUCAGUAAUGAAGUGUUUGAAACGUAUGGAAAGGAACGGGGCAAAGGAAUGAGAGAGCUUCAGGCUUCGUGGCAAAUCCUUUGCAUGUUUCUAAUGGCUCAAAAAGUCACACCACACUUUAGUCUGGUCAUUAUUAAAGUUAAAACCCCCAAAAGUUUUGUUUUCCAUAGUGACAUCUGGUCUCUGCUCAUUUAGAGAGAGCCAAUGACAGAAUCACAUCUGGACAAGCUCAGAUUAAAAAUGCCCAAAAGCAGAA